Molecule: long non-coding RNA, 780 nt
Organism: Oncorhynchus tshawytscha (Chinook salmon)
Lineage: Eukaryota; Metazoa; Chordata; Actinopteri; Salmoniformes; Salmonidae
Source: Ensembl
GGACGGUUCUUCAGAAACAGCUCGUCAAGCACCUCCGUAGCUUGCUAGCGAACAUAGUCGAAAGAUUCAAGCUAUUUAUACGCUUUCGUUGUAUAUUAGCUACUGUGUUUUAUACACACUUCUAUCGUAUCUACUCGUUAACCCAUUUAAUUUAAUAUGACGUUAUUUUGUAUUAGUCAGAUAUAGUAGCUGGCUGGUUAAGUUAGCACUAGCCUAGUCGCUAAUGAUAGCUAGCUAGCUAACAUCCCAGAACAUGAGCUCCCUAAACUACUCUCCUGCUAAAGAAGAGGAGGUCUGCUGGACGGAGAAAGAAGCUCUGGGGCUGAACAUUGUCGUGAAAGAGGAGAAGGAAGAGGAGGAUGUCACAGUAAAACAAGUAGAGGGUGAGGCUGUUAGAGUGAAAGAAGAGGAUGUCGUUUUUGGUGUGAAAAAGAGGUUGGAGAUCUGUUUAACACCAGAGAGAGACGUGACUAUAGUGGAUCCUCUGGGGAGCUUCAACAACAUCAUGAUGCUGACGAGGCAGAGAAGAGUCUCCAGAUCAGGACACCUCAAGAAACCCCAGCAGAGACCCACAGGGAAGAAAUCUCACCACUGCUCUGACUGUAUGAUCCUGUUUGUUUGUUCCUUUUGUAGUUUUACUUAGUUUUCACUCAGUCAUAUUCACACAGAUUCAUGCAUCCCUGCACUUUACAUACACCUUACAUUAUGAUACUUUCACACCUCAUACCUUUUUCUUUGUUUAAAGUUAAUAGUUUUGGUUUACAAUAAAGAACCUUUUUG